ACAAAUUCUGUCAUAUGAUGGUAUUGUAUUUACAUUAGGUUCCAUUCAGCAGUCGAUUUAAUAUUGUUUCCAUUGUGCGCUCGUCCCUCAGUGGUCGCAACACUGUUACCGUAAGUAUCGCAGGAAUCGGGCACUUCAACUAUAGCGACGAUUUGACCAGGGAAAAGCGAUCGGGGGUUCAUUGGACCGCGGUCUUUGACAGAGGUAAGAAGAAAGUCCUGGUUGUAACAGUGCAAAUAGUUUUACUAAGAUAGUUGUACGUUUAUACUUUUGCACUACACGUAAAUGGAAAAUAUUUUACCACAUUUUAUGUUUUGCAAGUUUAGCUUUAUUAGCGAUUUAUGUAUAAAUUAUAUUGGAGUGAAUUGUAUUGUAUACAUUGUAUAUAUUAUAUUACGAGCUGUUUACAAGCAAUUUUCAACUUUCUUUUUCUUUCUUUUAACUCCCUGAACGUGACAACGCAGCAGGAGACGAGCUUUCAUUGCUGAGUUUAAGUUGGAGCUUUGACACGUGUGGCGCUAGCUAGCCUGUAAGCUAGCGCUAACCGUUAGCAUGGAACCCCAUGUCGUUAACACUGCAUUCGCUGCUUCUUUAAAUUUCUGGGGAUGUGCUCACAUUUUGUAACAUGAUUGUACUAUUUCAGACAAUGUGGCACGGCUGUCCGUGGGGUAGUGUCUACGGCGGGGCCGAUCCCGUACCGUUCUAUGCUAACGGCUAUGUGUUCGCCUUGGUGCCGGCGCCUCGGAUGCCCUUGCGUCACAACGCGCUGACUCUGAGUCCAAACCCAGGACUCAGGUGUCCGGACGAUGUGAUUAAAAAAAAGGUUUCUGUGUCAACAGAAGAGACCAGGAGGCUCCUCUUGGACAGGCGUUUGUUUGAUUUGGUGGAUGCUCAUCCUUAUCUUGAACUAACUGACCCCAAGUUGCUGGGCUGGUACCUUGGUUUGUCUGCAGAGGACAGGACGAUCAUCCAAGCUGACGGAGGACUUCAAAACUUUCUACUAAGACAUCCUGCCUUAGAACUGACUCCGCAUCACGUUUAUGUCAAGGCUAGAAGGGCUCAUAAAGCACCCAGAUCUAUUUUGCCAAGACAGAACCUGAGCACUAAUGGAAUGUCCCCUACAGUGCAAGAGUUGAACGUCUACAGCAAUAAUAUGUGGAAAAAUUCAGCUGUAUCAGACCCUACGAACAGACAGGAUGGGUCACAGAAACAGCCAUGUGAGGAUCCAGGAAUCCCAGGAAGCUUCUGUCUGGACACGGUGCUGGAGAGGUGCAGACCAAGCAGAAAGUCUGAGCACAGGAGCUUUAGGUUAGUGACCCAAGAUCAGACGCCCAACUUCAGCGAGGUCCAUCCAUCACAGUCUGAAUGGUCAACAAUUAAAAACACGUCUCUUACUGAGCUCUCCAGUUCUGACUAUCUCAGAACUACAGAAAAUGGCACAAAGAAAGAGAUUCAGGAUUGUCAGGUCUAUAAUGAGGGCACCAUUAACACAGCUAAUGUAGGCUCGAGUCAGGGGAGGGACAUUUGUACCAUAUUGGAUGAAGACAAGAGCAUCCUUGUUUGUGUUACCAGCGAUGAUCAGAAAACGUACUCGGGUACAGUCUCUCCAAAUGGUGAAACACUAGCACCCAGGAGUGAGCUCUUAGACGGCGGUCAGUCUCUCAACAACAGCUGCUCUGAGGAAAAAGGCCCUUUUCCGCUGCCUCGUGUUUCCUGUGACACAGAGUCUGCACAGUGUGUGUCAGCUUUCACCCAAACCAAUGAUCCAGUAUCAUCAGACAAGCAAAUCAAUACUGAAAUCUGCAUGGCAGAUGUGGACUACGUUGCUGUGGAAUUUCUCAGGCUCAAGAAAACUGAAGAGAAAGUGAAGAAUAAAUGUGACUGCAUGCAGCGCGCUCAACAAGCCGAGCUGUCUCUGCUGAGCCUGCAGUACCGCAUGUGCAGACAGCAUUGUUGGAGUCUCCACUGCGCCGCGGCUGGUGGAAACCAGGGCAGCGCUGAUGGGAAGCAACAUUGUCCAGUGGACCCUCCUGCAGACAUCAGUGCUGUUUUGAACAAACUGGAAUCUGACUAUAAUGAGCUAAGUGGUAGGAUCCUGGAAGGGGUUCCUCUAGAGCAACUGAAGCCUCUGUCAGUCAACUGUGGGAAGAUAACCCCAGCGCCUUACAUUCCUGCACAGGUCAUCGCCAGCAUGCAAGGAAGUGUUCCUCAACCGCCCCAGGAUCUGCAGAGGAACAGAACACCAACAAAUGACUCCCAGAGAGAAACCAAAGAGGUUACCCAGCAGAACAGCUCGGCCAAGAGAGCAGUCCCUGUCGUUCCUCAGGCGAGUGGAGCUCUGUGUGAUGCACAGACACUGGCAGACACUCAGACGGUUGACUGAUCAACCUCAUGGCUCCAGCGUCCACAACUCUGAUGACUGAGCUGACACGGUGCCAUCUGGACCUGGAGGCAGGAGAACUUGGGAGUCCGGGUGGAACUGAGGCCAUGUGCCAAGUUAUGAAGGAUCAGUCCUUUGGUGCCUGGAAUGUUGUGUUAACAUUAAUUUUGUUGCAUGUUGAAAUAGUUUGACAGCAGUUUAUUUCCAAGGCUUUUUUCAGUAACCUGUGUUCAUAUGAAAACAGUAUAUGAAUAUCUUGUUCUAAGGUUGUGUUUAAGGUUGCUCAUGUUGGAUGUGCAGGAAUUUGGUUGUCUGUUAAUAAAAAGUAUGUACAAAAACGCUUUGGUUAUUAU
RNAcentral lists this long non-coding RNA (2733 nucleotides) under Betta splendens (Siamese fighting fish). RNAcentral describes it as "lncRNA (ENSBSLG00000025574.1)". Lineage: Eukaryota; Metazoa; Chordata; Actinopteri; Anabantiformes; Osphronemidae. The record is from RNAcentral.